Molecule: ribosomal RNA, 253 nt
Filed under: uncultured bacterium
Lineage: Bacteria
Description: partial 16S ribosomal RNA
Rfam family: Bacterial small subunit ribosomal RNA
Source: RNAcentral
UACGUAGGGGGCAAGCGUUGUCCGGAUUUAUUGGGCGUAAAGAGCGUGUAGGCGGCUAGGUAGGUCCGUUGUGAAAACUCGAGGCUCAACCUCGAGCUGUCGAUGGAAACCAUCUGGCUAGAGUCCGGAAGAGGAGAGUGGAAUUCCCGGUGUAGCGGUGAAAUGUGUAGAGAUCGGGAGGAACACCGGUGGCGAAGGCGGUCUUCUGGACGGUGACUGACGCUGAGGCGCGAAAGCGUGGGGAGCAAACGGG